GUACAAUAUAUGGAUAAUGGAAGCUUGGAAGAAUAUUUGGACUCAAAUAAUGGAGUACCAUACUGUUCUCCCACUACCCAAGGCAUCCCACACCAUCUCCUUUGGAUGAAGAGUCAUCAGCACUUAACUUGGGAUAGGUGGCCUUCAGGCCUUUCUGCUCUUACAAAUACUACCCUAAACCUUCCCCCCUCUGUCUAAGGAUUACUCCGAAACUUAUUCCUACUACAUAUAUUUUGAAACAUUCCUCCACUGAAGAAAGAGGCCUUGGACUUACUUCCUCUGACCAAGGGCUUCAUAGCCCAAAGAUAACCAUUCAACCUGUUGGAAUAAUGGAACAACUGCUGCCUGGACUUUCA
Long non-coding RNA from Grammomys surdaster, 356 nucleotides. RefSeq lists it as uncharacterized. The record is from RefSeq and is a predicted model, not a curated record. Lineage: Eukaryota; Metazoa; Chordata; Mammalia; Rodentia; Muridae. The transcript has 3 exons.